GGACUUUUUACCUGGAUAUAGUACGCCCACAUAUCCCGCCCACGGUACAGGUGGCUCCGCGGUGGCGCCCCCAGGUUCGAUGACGAAUUCCGGACGAGUCCCGCCAUUCCCCGCCCCGAAAGGUCACGCAAACACACGGUGUAUGUCUGUGAAGCACUCAGCCCUCCCAAUUUGGCCUGACCGGCAAGGCAGCCGAAAGGCACCGGUAAUGCCCCAAUCUCUCUCUCACCCGAGGUCUCUGGCGUGAUGCUUUGGGCUUACACGGCCAUCUAUUUAUAGAGGAGGGUGAGUCCGCGUAGAGGGAAAUUCGUUGGCGGGGAAGGGAAGACCCCGAGAUCUCCUGCGACGGUCAUGGCAGCCACUAGAGGUUGAGCGAUUUCCGCCCAAGGCCAAUGCCAGAGAUCCCGGUGGCUUCUGUUGAAGCACGGCGAUCCCGGGGCGGUGAAGACCACCCAGGCGAGCUACAGGCUGACUCCGCGCGGGCGGUUGCCGGGCAGCGCGGAUUCGUUGCGAGGUUCACGGCGUGGGUUGCACAUCAAAACGGCAUUCCGAUCUCUACGGCCUCCACCGCGUUCAUGGUGGAAGGAGGCUUCUGCGCGACAGGGCCCAAACGGCAGAGACCGGGUCAGUGUUGUUUUUCUGCGGAUGGUCCAAGGAGUGGGGUCGAUCCGGUAGCGUUCGGCCCGUGAUUCCUGGUGGCAGCAACACAUUCAGCCGAGUCUGCGUGACUUUCGCGCGAGAUGGGGAAGACGCACCCGACCAGCGGGUCCCACACGCACGUGGCUAUGCGCAAAAGGAAGGGCUGGCACGGUGGGGCCUGGGGCAGCGACCAGGUGAACGCCCGAGCAACGUGCAUGGCUGGCAUCGUUAUCACGUCAAAGCGACAAGCAGGAAAUGAUAGACUCGUUUUUUUUGCUUGCUUGAUGUUAGUAUGACAUAUAUGCGGCAAGAUGAAAUAAUAAAAUAAAAUAAAAAGAAGGGAUGUGGCUACGGUAUUUGGAAAGGCUAGUGGGCGUUUGGGGAAAAGUCGACCUAGGCAACAUUUUUUUCUGUUUAAAUUUUCAACUUCAAAUUAGACUCAAGUUCAAUCUAUCAAAUUCAAAAUGCAGCAAACAAAGAUUUCAGCAUGCAAUGUUUUAAUUUUUUGAUCUAUUAUUCUAUUCGUUAUUUAGUCCAAAUGUUUGCAAAUAUGUAAUGCACAUAUUAUUUUAAGAGAAUAUUGUUUUUUAUGUGUAACAAAACUGGAAGAUCAUACACGUUUUCAUAUUCAUUACGACUCUUAAUUUAAGAGAAAAUAUGUUAUGACGUGAAAUAUACUUUUACUUAAAUCUUUUCUUUGAUAUGAUUUCUAAAUAUAUUAUGAAAGGAAUGUUUACUCGUUAAAAGAUCUUUAUUGUAUUAUAAAGCAUAUUUAUUUAGAGCUUUAGAAUAUUUUUUUCCUUACGUCACCCACAAUACGAUUUUGGAGUGUUACAAAUUCUACCCCCUUAAAAAUAAUCUCGUCCUCGAGAUUAGUAUGAAAGGGAUGUGGUCAGGUUGGCGGUUACUUUUAGUUUCUCAAGUAGUUGCAUUACCAAAAGGUUUUCUUAUUCUGGAUCAUAAAUUAGUAGGUGAUUAGGAAAAGCAUAAGUAUUUUUUUAGGCCAUCUAGUAGGCAAGAUUGAGUUAGAUCAGGGAUAGGUUGAGGCUAGAAGGAUUAUGACAAGGAAAGAUUUCAUCCGAAUGUUUAAGUCUUGAUUCAUCUCAAGAUUUGCUUUGACUGUUAUAUCCUUCCUUGUCGAGGUUGAUCUCCUCCUUUCUUUCGGUCUUGGUGUCUCCAUCCGAGCUAGGGAGAUAUAUUUAAGAUGGCUGGGGUAUAUGGGUAGGACAAAAUCUUGUUUAUCAAUAGGUUAGCAUAGCUAGAUGGAUUAUGUAACCUAUUGGGAGUGCAUGGCUGAGUUGAUCUAAGGCACUAACUUAGGCCCAAAACAUGUUUAUAGGGUUUAAUCUAUUUCACUAGUAUUAACUAACCUAUUUAUGUAACUCACUUUAGAUUAGAUCAUAUUAGGUUAGAUGGGAUCUAGAUUAGAUUUGUAUGACUAGUUUGACUAGAUAAGAUCUAAUUAAUUUGCAAUAGAUCAUGGUUGUUAAACUAGGGUGGAUAAGUAUGCUUAUUAGGAUAAGAUGGAUCUAUGAGUGUAGGGUGGAAUCUUUUAAGAUGAUAUGUAUAUUGUUAGGCUAGAUACUUUAAUGAGAGAUAGUCUAAUUUGUCUAGUUAUCUUUUAUAUGCAUUUCCUUUUAUGCCUAGAUGUAUAUGCAGAUGCAAUUAUGGAUAUUACUCCACAACUCAUCACACUCAAUCAAAGAUCGAAUCAAGCAGUUAUCACAAGAACAAACACUCAAGCAUGCAAAUAUUUACAGAAAUAGUUUUGAUUUUGUUCCUAAGAUUAGGUUUCCUAUUCCUAAAAGUCACUUUAGGUAUAGGAUUUCAAAGUGCGAAAUCCACAUUUGUCUUUAGAAGGAAAAGGUAAGAAUAAUCAGAGUAAAUCAGAAAUAGAUGAGAAAAGAUUAAGAAAAGUUUAGAAAGAAUCAGAGUAGCGAAGGUAAGUAAGUAAUGGUUGUCCAGUUCUAUCUAGGUUUUGUCCUACAGUCAACAUUCCUCUGAUACCACUUCUGUCACACCCGAGUUUUAGGGGCACCAAGACCCGGGCGCGAACAUAAUCACCAGGUGUGCUGGGACCAAGUCUCACACAUAUGAUGAAUCAUGGCACAAGAUUGAAUGUCACAUCUUUACUAUAUAAUAGGAGUUCUAUACAAAAUAAAUAAAUAAUUACAUUAUAAGGAGACAACAGUCCAGCAACCCAAAGUUGACUGGGAGACGAUGGCCUAGACCUCUCACGAACACAUCGCAACAUCCUCCAUGGGCCUCAUCCUGGGGUACCUGUUCUUGACCUGUGGGGGGUGUGAGACAGCAAGAGUGAGCUCACAUACGUUCAUCGCUCAACAAGUUGUGGGGAAUAAUGUGCAUGAACUCGCCAAAGGUGGGAGCUCACGUGAAGUGUAAGGCUUACCAAAGAAGAUGGUUAGAGCUGAGCAUUGCUUUUAAAGUUGAUCAAAAUUUUAUUAGCAGUUACUAAGUAUAAGUAAAUACCAACCCAAUUAAGUAGUAGAACAACAGUAACAACAUCACCUGCGGUGCAAUGCAUAUGACAAAUUGAAUUUAGUUCCAUAGAUUAAUCAUGUGAGUGUCCGAGCUGCUCAUGACCGUGAGCACAGCUAGUAUACCAGUUUUACACUCUGCAGAGGUUGCGCAUCUUUACCCACAAGUCAUGUUACCCAUCUGCCAAGAGACGACCAAUCCCAUACACCUCUACCGAGGAGGCGAGGCAGGGUAACACUAUGAGGCCUUUACAAAGUUCCACUAGCUUCAGAAAACCCGCUACAGUUUAUAGGAAGCUCCAGUGCAGGAGUCCCUCGACUGACCACCAUCGCAGCAAAAUCAACCAAGGACCUCCCUACACUGACCACUCCCCUACUGCCCUUGCCCCUUUCGGGUAAGGUAAUCAUCCACUAGCUUUUCUAGUUAAUCAGCCAAGGGCGUCCAUAAACCCUUGUGGUAGCACUGUUUUCCCGGGUGGUUCUCCAUGUUCCGAUUAACAUAAUGAUCUUAUCAUGAACAGUAAAUAAUGAACAAAUAAUAAAAAGUGUAAUCAUGAGUAGUGAAUAUCUCUAUACCCAAAACCACAUAAAGCAAUAGCAUGUACUACCCAAAAAGUUCAGUGGAGUCAAGGUAUAAAGAUAAUCAAACUAGGGUAACCUGUUGGGUCCCAUCAAAAUUAACCUAUGCAGAUCAUUAUGAUUAAUCAGAACAUGACUGGGUAAAAAGAAGUGAUCAAGGGCACAACUUGCCUGGGACUUGAGAUUCCAGGUACCAACUUGCUCUUCAUAUGACUCGUGACCUCACGCUAGUCGUAGCAGUACAAACAAAGAUGUGUAGGCAAAAUUAACAUCACACCAAACAUGAGAAUAAAUUGUGUACUAAUAAUCUACGCGAAGCUACGAGAUCGGGGGAUCGAGAAUCAACAAAAUCGGAGCUACGGUUAUCGAGUUACGAAUUUCUGGGGUUAUUGAGUACAUGGUAUAGAUUAAUUCAGAUAAAUAAUUUUAAUUCAUAUUUCAUUGCUAAACAGAGGUACUAAGUGGUAGACAAUGUUAAAACAAAAUUAAUACAACUGGAAUGACUUAAUUUGGAGUUGAAAUGAAUUUAAUAUGAAUUAUAUAAGUUUAUGGAAUUAUUUUCAUACUAAAAACCUAUUUCUUUAUUAAUUUCUGAAUAUUCUAAGUGUUCUGGACUGGGCACAAUAUUUCUUAAAAGAUCAGGGGUCUAAAUCACAAUUUUCCCAAGACUCAGUAUUCCCACAGUGUGGACUGCGGGUUGACUUAGGAAAAAAAAUGGAGGGGUUCUUUUAUAAUUUAGCCGCGGCCAAGGGGUACGUGCCAAUCUGCGCCAUCCGAUCAAGAGUGGGCAGCCCAGAUUAAAUCCCCAUAUAAGUGAGUCGGUACACGCAUCUGCGACCGCACGCUCCGCAAUCAACGGCCCAGCAAUAGCCACGCCAUGAUCACGCCAGAACAGCCCGGAUCCGUUGGUUUGGUUAUCAACGGUUCAGAUCAAUCCGCAUGAAGAGGUAUCCUCAGCUUCUAAUCUGGCGCGCUAGCAUAAGAUCCAACGACGGCUGUUCAAACCCCCCCAUGGCGGAGCCAUGGCCGGCCAUGGCUGUCCCGCACCAUGGUGCUUCAAGUUCAAAACUGAAUGCCGCCAAAUCGUAUGGAGGACAAAGCGAAGGUGCCAGGAGACUUUUUACCUGGAUAUAGUAUGCCCACAUAUCCCGCCCACGGUACAGGUGGCUCCGCGGUGGCGCCCCCAGGUUCGGUGACGAAUUCCGGACGAGUCCCGCCAUUCCCCACCCCGAAAGGUCACGCAAACACGCGGUGUAUGUCGGUGAAGCACUCAGCCCUCUUAAUUUGGCCUGACCGGCAAGGCAGCCAAAAGGCACCAGCAAUGCCCCAAUCUCUCUCUCACCCGAGGUCUCUGGCGUGAUGCUUUGGGCUUACGCGGCCAUCUAUUUAUAGAGGAGGGUGAGUCCGCGUAGAGGGAAAUUCGUUGGCGGGGAAGGGAAGACCCCGAGAUCUCCUGCGACGGUCAUGGCGGCCACUAGAGGUUGAGCGAUUUCCGCCCAAGGCCAAUGCCAGAGAUCCCGGUGGCUUCUGUUGAAGCAUGGCGAUCCCGGGGCGGUGAAGACCACCCAGGCGAGCUACAGGCUGACUUCGCGCGGGCGAUUGCCGGGCAGCGCGGAUUCGUUGUGAGGUUCACGGCGUGGGUUGCACAUCAAAAUGGCAUUCCGAUCUCUACGGCCUCCACCGCGUUCAUGGUGGAAGGAGGCUUCUGCGCGACAGGGCCCAAACGGCAGAGACCGGGUCAGUGCUGUUUUUCUGCGGAUGGUCCAAGGAGUGGGGUCGAUCCGGUAGCGUUCGGCCCGUGAUUCCUGGUGGCAGCAACACAUUCAGCCGAGCCUGCGUGACUUUCGUGCGAGAUGGGGAAGACGCACCCGACCAGCGGGUCCCACACGCAUGUGGCUAUGCGCGAAAGGAAGGGCUGGCAUGGUGGGGCCUAGGGCAGCGACCAGGUGAACGCCCGAGCAACGUUCAUGGCUGGCAUCGUUAUCACAUCAAAGCGACAAGCAGGAAAUGAUCGACUCGUUUUUUUGCUUGCUUGAUGUUAGUAUGACAUAUAUGCGGCAAGAUGAAAUAAUAAAAUAAAAUAAAAAGAAGGGAUGUGGCUACGGUAUUUGGAAAGGCUAGUGGGCGUUUGGGGAAAAGUCGACCUGGGCAACAUUUUUUCUGUUUAAAUUUUCAACUUCAAAUUAGACUCAAGUUCAAUCUUUCAAAUUCAAAAUGCAGCAAACAAAGAUUUCAGCAUGCAAUGUUUUAAUUUUUUGAUCUAUUAUUCUAUUCGUUAUUUAGUCCAAAUGUUUUCAAAUAUGUAAUGCACAUAUUAUUUUAAGAGAAUAUUGUUUUUUUAUGUGUAACAAAACUGGAAGAUCAUACACAUUUUCAUAUUCAUUACUACUCUUAAUUUAAGAGAAAAUAUGUUAUGACCUGAAAUAUACUUUUACUUAAAUCUUUUCUUUGAUAUGAUUUCUAAAUAUAUUAUGAAAGGAAUGUUUACUCGUUAAAAGAUCUUUAUUGUAUUAUAAAGCAUAUUUAUUUAGAGAUUUAGAAUAUUUUUUUUCCUUACGUCACCCACAAUACGAUUUUGGAGUGUUACAUCGGGCUAGGCGAGAUCGUGUCCCUUGAGUGGGCGGAGCUUUGACCUGUAUUGCGCCCAUCAGGCCUUUGUAGCUUUGUGCUGAUGGUGGUUAUCAGUCGAGUUUAGGAGUCUUGGGGGUACCCCUAAUUAUGGUCCCCGACAAUAGUGUUAUUGAAAGUCGCCUAGAGGGGGGUGAAUAGGCGUAAUCUGAAAUUUACAACUUUAAACACACUACAAGCCGGGAUU
Molecule: long non-coding RNA, 6531 nt
Filed under: Zea mays
Lineage: Eukaryota; Viridiplantae; Streptophyta; Magnoliopsida; Poales; Poaceae
Description: long non-coding RNA (ZMAY_LNC004459)
Source: RNAcentral